UGGGGAAUAUUGGGCAAUGGGGGCAACCCUGACCCAGCGACGCCGCGUGAGGGAAGAAGGCCUUCGGGUUGUAAACCUCUUUUGUAUGGGAAGAAGGACGUGACGGUACCGUACGAAUAAGUCCCGGCUAACUACGUGCCAGCAGCCGCGGUAAUACGUAGGGGACGAGCGUUGUCCGGAAUUACUGGGCGUAAAGGGCGCGCAGGCUGUGCUGCAAGUCAGCUGUGAAAUAUCUGGGCUUAACCCGGUUAUGCGGUUGAGACUGCAGUGAUGGAGUGCUGUAGAGGCAAGCGGAAUUCCCAGUGUAGCGGUGAAAGGCGUAGAUAUGGGGAAGAACACCGUUGGCGAAGGCGGCUUGCGGGGCAGCAACUGACGCUGAGGCGCGAAAGCCAGGGGAGCAAACG
Molecule: ribosomal RNA, 404 nt
Filed under: uncultured prokaryote
Description: bacterial SSU rRNA
Rfam family: Bacterial small subunit ribosomal RNA
Source: RNAcentral